This 138-nucleotide small nucleolar RNA is filed under the name Ornithorhynchus anatinus (platypus). The record is from RNAcentral. Lineage: Eukaryota; Metazoa; Chordata; Mammalia; Monotremata; Ornithorhynchidae.
CCCCUCUCAGGGUCACACCUGGAGAGUUCCCAGUACUCUACCAGUCUCUACUACAGGAGGGAGAGCCAAGCAGAGGCAUAUCCAUUCCAUUUCCAGCUUGGGCAGUGGCUAGCAAGUGGAAGGCAAUCUGCUACAUGU